Molecule: long non-coding RNA, 2774 nt
Organism: Leopardus geoffroyi (Geoffroy's cat)
Lineage: Eukaryota; Metazoa; Chordata; Mammalia; Carnivora; Felidae
Exons: 5
Source: RefSeq, a predicted model, not a curated record
GCUGCUUUUGAAAAAUAGGUUACUGCCAUUUAGUUGAUGACGGAAACAGAAGCCAAGAAGAGUGCAAAUUGUAAACUGACGUGCAUAAGCCAAACGUAUUCUCUCAAAUGACAACGUUCAAGACGCAGCUAAAGUCCCCACUCGGGCGGUAAGCGUGUUACAAAGAACUAGAUCUCUUUCUGGCAUCCGCAACUUGGCCGGAGUGACCACGGAGGAGUUGAAGAGCGCUGGAAACGCUAGGUUCCUCGCCGGUCACCUGAGGGCUGCGGCCCUGGGUCAGGUUCUUGGCUCCCAGUCACUCAUUCCAAGGCUGUCACAGUCCAUGCAUGGGCACUUGGAAACCACAUUUCUAGGUACUGAGGAUGUCUUGGGAUCUGUCUUGAGGUCACUGUCUCAACAAUUCCUGUGGAAUCCUGGGGGGAUGACCCUGUUAUGGGUUGAAUUGUGUUCUCUAAAAGGAUAUGCUGGGAGUCCUAACCCCUGGUACCUGCGCAUAUGACCUUAUUUGCAAAUAGGGCCUUCGCAGAUGUAAUCAAGUGAAGCUGAGAUCGUUGGGUGGGCCCUCAUCCAAUAUGACCAGUGACCUUACAAGAAGAUGGAAAUUUGCUCAUAGACAUGCACCAAGGGGUGACAAUGUGAAGACACAGAAGGAAGAAGGCCAUACGAAGACAGAAGCAGAGAUUGGAGCCACGAGGCCACAAGCCAAGGAACGCCCGGGGCUACCAGAAGUGGGGAGAGACAAGGAAGCAUCCUUGUCUAGCGGCUUCAGAGGGAGCGUGACUUUGCCUGUGCCUUGAUUUUGGACUUCUACCUUCUAGAACUGUGAAACAACAAACUUCUAUUGCUUCGAGCCACCCAGUUUGGGGCACUUUGUUCGAGCAGCCUUCGAAAACUAAUAUCAACUUCGGUGUCUGCUCAGGACAGAAUGGCGACCACGGAGAAUUCUGGACGGGGCGGAGGAAGAGAUUGCUCCCUUCUGUACUCUGAGCGGCAGCAAAGGGCUAUGACCAAUGCCCUCCUGGAUGCAGAAGGAGGCACUGGCCUCAUUAUAUGCAUACACCAUGACUGCUGUCUUAAACUCCAAUACUGCUGAACAAUUCAGAAAUAGAUCCAUUAUAGGUCUGCUUUAGCCCCAGGGCUUUAACACGGGUCACUAGAAAAUCCAAGAUUGCACAGUAAUUCAAACUCUUAAGAGGGAAAGGAAAAAAAAAAUUCUCUUCAGCACUCCCGCCCACCCAGAGUCCCUCCCUCCAGCAUCACAGGGAGCCCCUCUUCAUUUCUGUAGUGCUUUAGAAUAAAUAGCUCUUAUGUUGAACUUGAAAUCUAAAUUUUUCGCCAGCUAUUAAUUGAUAAGAGAAGCUCGUUUUACCUCUCAUGCUCUGUAGUAAGAUUACGGUGUAAAUAAACUGGGUCAGGUUUAGCAGGAUGGAGGUGAACUGUUCUCUAAUUCCCCUUAAUCUCUGGUAAAGGAAUAACUAGGAUUUGAACGUCAACAUUCAAUAAGCAAUUACGGCACUCCUUCAAACACGAUCCAAAUUAGUCUGCUGUUCCCUCAAAUAGAAUCCAAAGGACCUCCAAACCGCGCUCUUCGAUUGCAACCUCCUUGUUUUGUUCUCACCGGUGAGAGGAGUCAGGAUUGCAGGAGGGAUUUGAUUUGAUUUAUAUUAAUUUUUAGAGUAUCAGGGAUCUCUUGUUUUACUUGAAACAGAUCAGGGAACGGGGUCAGUAAACAAGGGUUUUCUCGACUACUGAUCUCGACUACUGAUCACUCAGCAUUUCAUGAGGCUGGCUUCUAGCUUUCACAGUGCAUUAGAAUCAUUAUCUAAUUAUUAAUCUCACCCUAGAGUUCUGAGGAGCUUAUGACACCCGUUGAAGUUAAUGAAGGCUUUUACCUGUGGAUCUGGCACUAAAUCGCUGUGAUUGACCGAGUGCCCACAAUAUGGUAGGCACUGAUAGAAUUGACAGAGGGGAAAAAGAAUUAAACGGAAGGAAAUUAAGAAGAGGAAGAAGGAGAAGGCGUCAGAGAGGAGGAGGGGCGAGAAACCAAAAGGAGAUUGUAACUUCAAAACACCUCAUUAGGAAAAUGGGGCAGUUAAGGAAGAACUCACCAAGUAAUCUGCUUAAACUUUAAUUAAUUAUUCAUUUAUAUAUAUUUAUGUGGCACACUUUCUCUAGGGAAACCAAUGUGCUUUGCAAACAUAUUAAAUAAUUAACUCCCUCAAAUCUGAGUGGAAAGGGAGCAAAAUUACUCCAGAAAAGGACCGGCGGGUUGAUGAGUGAUGGAUGCGUCUCGCUUUGAAGAGGCGAUCCUGUGUGAUACCCACCAGAGACCGCAUAACAAAAGACCUCUUCUGGGGGGUAACUAUGGGUACUAUGGUGAUCCCUCCCCCCACCUUCCAGAAGAAGCAGCUUUUGCUUAUACAGAUAAUGAUGCUACGGAGAGAGACAAACAGGAAGACACAUAAAUUGAUAUGAUACAGAAAUCCAGUAUAUUUUGAGGAAGGGUGCUAUUAGAAGAAAGUCAAAUGGAGUGCAUUUUUAAAUAAAAUACUGCCUUUGAGACAAAAGUUAAAGUUAGGACGUAUUUUGAACCAAGAACACUGAACAUGGCAUUAAGUAAAACGAAAUUGCAAAGGCCAAAUGAUGAGCAGCAACAUUUAGUAAGUUGUGUUUAAACAGAUGUUGACUUCCUGAAAUUACAUCCUCAAUGCAUCGUUGACAGGACACUAUUUAAAAAAAAAAAAAAUACCUUUAGCACAAGUGGUUUCAACAUU